GGUUCCCUGCUCAAGCUCUCUUCUCUUGUCUGCUGCCAUGUGAGACGUGCCUUUGACCUUCUGCCAUGAUUGUGAGGCCUCCCCAGCCACGUGAAACUGAACAGAAGAAAAGAUGAUCCUUUAUUGCCUCUAGAAAGAGGAGCCAAGCUCUGUCCUUCUAUUUACCCCACACCAGCCCUUUGAGAUCAGAUAUUGUCCCUAUGUUGCUGGUGAGGACGGGUGAACCUCCAAGGAAUUACGUGAUUUGCAGAGACCUGUGCAGCUGGUGAGUGAAAAAGCAGGAACUCAAACUCAGAUCUCUCUGACUUCUUCUAGAAGUCUCCAUUUCCUCAUCUGCAAAACGGGAACGUUAACUGGGGCGAGGCUUGCUACGUAUUGAAGAAUCCCACUGGGUUUGCUAGUGGAAAGUGCUGUAUUUAUGGAGCUCGCAACACCUUUCUCGGUAUCACUGAAAAUCGUCUGGUAGUUAAUGCCUAACGUUGUUGGGAAUAUUGAUGUGGGCAUUGAAUGGCUGAUAUCCAGGCUAUACAUUUUACUAAGUGGGUGGCCUUGGGAUGAUGAAUGAACUCUCUGUGCUCUUUAAAAUGGAGAUAUUGUUUCCUGUUUGGAUCUGUGUCAAUAAAGAAGGAAGAUAAUGCAGA
Molecule: long non-coding RNA, 641 nt
Filed under: Homo sapiens (human)
Lineage: Eukaryota; Metazoa; Chordata; Mammalia; Primates; Hominidae
Description: non-protein coding lnc-ZNF582-5:6
Source: RNAcentral